GAGUAAUAAUAAUAAUAAUAAUAAUAAUAGUAAUAAUAAUAACAAUAAUGACAGUGAUAAUAACAACAGAAAUAACAAGAAUGGUGACAAUAACAGCAACAACAACGGCACGCUGACGCUGACAACACCAACGAUACAUGCUGAUAUAAAUUGGUUGUAUUUUAUCGCAAACAUUGAGUACAAAACAACAAAUAAUUUUGACGACUAUGAAAAAAAAUUUACAAAUAACAGUUAUUGUUUCCGUUUGAAUUUUUGCUAAACUAGUCGGACUCAAUCAGAGGUAUUCAUCUGUGGAUCAUGAUUAAUUAAUGAAUUAAUUAAUGCGCUAGUAAUUAUAUUUGAAAUGGGUAGACGAAACUGGAGGUUGCGGCAUUCUAGAAAUUUUCGAGUUCUCUUUUCCUUGCGUUUUUCCUCCGCCGCUUUGUGUGUGCGUGCGUGUGUGUGUGUGUGUGUGUGUGUGUGUGUGUGUGUGGUGUGUGUGUGUUGGUGAAAAGGAGUCGAUCAAACAUUUAAAUAUGGAAACACUGUCCCUUAUUUUGAAAUCUCAAAUUCUUACCCCUAACCCACUAACAAAUAUAUCUACGUACCCCAUAAACACAUAAACACGCAUGCACACGUACAGGCGAUCAUACAGGCUCAUAUUUGGUAUAACUGUAAGCAUUCAUAUGUGCAUAAGUAAAUAUAUUUCUGAGUAU
Octopus sinensis (East Asian common octopus) is the source of this 695-nucleotide long non-coding RNA. RefSeq lists it as uncharacterized. The record is from RefSeq and is a predicted model, not a curated record. The transcript has 3 exons. Lineage: Eukaryota; Metazoa; Mollusca; Cephalopoda; Octopoda; Octopodidae.